This is a long non-coding RNA of Choloepus didactylus (southern two-toed sloth), 795 nucleotides long. RefSeq lists it as uncharacterized. The transcript has 3 exons. Lineage: Eukaryota; Metazoa; Chordata; Mammalia; Pilosa; Megalonychidae. The record is from RefSeq and is a predicted model, not a curated record.
GUAGCUGGUGGGUUUUGGGGCGGCUGUUUCGAGCCUGUAGGAAGCGGCACUCGUGCGCCGACGACUGUCUCUUCGUUGUCCGUGGCAAGUUUAAGCGGGCAUUUCACACGUGAUAAUGAAAAGCUUAAUGGACACAAAAUGUUUAAUAGCGUUACAGGCGGUCAGUGUAUACUCGCUGAAGUAGUAAGCAAAAGUAUUCCUUUAUCUGUGAAAAAUCGACUUCUUUCUGAUAAAAGAAUAGUGAGGUAUGAAACAAACCCACAUAAAUGGACCCCUGAGAUAUGACAGAAGAGGCACCGCAAAGCAGAGGGGAAGGAAGGAACGUCCUUUCGGGCCUCGGGAAUUGGUCAGUUGAGAACAUAGGGCAGAGAACCUGCUGCUUUUGAGUGGUAUCAAUUUGGCGACCCAGAUGGGACCAAGGUUCCUAAGAAGGAGGCCGACUGCCUGAAGUUCUGGAGCCCCAGCAGGACAGGUAAACAGGUGCGCCUUCCACAUACUGUGGGGGACUCUCUAUGGCCGGUCACACCCUGAAACCAAGUCCCUGGUGUCCUCUGGCCCCUUUCUAGUUGCUUUCUUGGAGGAGGUGAAGCCCGUUCUGCCUUACCUACUCCACUGUCUUCCCAGAAGUCCCAGUAUCCUUGAUUCUCGAAGGCAAUCAUUUAACUAUAUUUACAUGAUGUGACCAUGUGAUUAUGAAAACCUUGUGGCUCACACUCCCUUUAUCCAGUGUAUGGACAAAUGAAUAGAAAAAUGGGGACAAAAAAUAAAUGAAUAAUGGGGGGGGAGUAUGAGAUG